CCAUGGUCCCAGCUUCCGUACAGGUUUGUUGACUUCCAUUCAAGUCUCAGGUCCUUGGCUCAGGAGCUCCGCUCCCGUACAGCGCGUCCGGGCGUGAGAACAGAAGCCAAGAUGGAGUGCUGGGCGUGGAAUCCAUGUUCCCAAACUGUCUGGAAUCGCUCGUGACUGGUCUGGCCACAGCUCCUGCGGGUCGGGAGGGGCUGAAGUAGGACCCCGCCACCCUAGACCUUGAAAAUGGACUUGCAUUUCCUUCGAGCCUUCAAAGAACUCGCUCUCCUGAUGCCGCUGAAAGUACCAGCCUGGUUGCAGAAAGCCCCACGUGGAACCUCGCCUCCGAUGGACCCGGCCGCCGUGCCCAGGGAAAGGUGCUUUCCAGAGAGGUUAUUCCUCCCUAGUGAGCUCUCAUGCUCAUGUUUUUGUUCCUAGCACCACCACCAUUUCAUUAAACUUUACUUAAAAAAAAAAAAAAACGCACCCACAGCUCAGAGUUUCGUUUUUAUUUUAUUUAUUUAUUUAUUUUUUUGAGGAAGAUUAGCCCUGAGCUAACUGCUGCCAAUCCUCCUCUUUUUGCUGAGGAAGACUGGCCCUGAGCUAACAUCCGUGCCCGUCUUCCUCUACUUUAUAUGUGGGAUGCCUACCACA
RNAcentral lists this long non-coding RNA (642 nucleotides) under Equus caballus (horse). RNAcentral describes it as "lncRNA (ENSECAG00000049350.1)". Lineage: Eukaryota; Metazoa; Chordata; Mammalia; Perissodactyla; Equidae. The record is from RNAcentral.